This 253-nucleotide ribosomal RNA is filed under the name uncultured bacterium. Its description in RNAcentral is "partial 16S ribosomal RNA". It matches the Rfam family "Bacterial small subunit ribosomal RNA", at positions 524 to 776 of the family's 1533-position model. The record is from RNAcentral.
UACAUGGGGUGCAAACGUUGCUCGGAAUUAUUGGGCGUAAAGCGCACGUAGGCGGUUUGUUAAGUCGGAUGUGAAAUCCCUCGGCUCAACUGAGGAAGUGCAUCCGAAACUGGCAAGCUUGAGUACGAAAGAGGGUCGCGGAAUUCCCGGUGUAGAGGUGAAAUUCGUAGAUAUCAGAAGGAACACCGGUGGCGAAGGCGGUUCUCUGGGCAUUACCUGACGCUGAGGAGCGAAAGUGUGGGGAGCGAACAGG